Molecule: unclassified non-coding RNA, 383 nt
Filed under: fungal sp.
Lineage: Eukaryota; Fungi
Description: partial internal transcribed spacer region
Rfam family: Eukaryotic small subunit ribosomal RNA (bases 1-46)
Source: RNAcentral
AAGUCGUAACAAGGUUUCCGUAGGUGAACCUGCGGAAGGAUCAUUAACACGUAUCCACGUAUCAACCCCUUUGUGCUUUUUAUGUUUGAACGAAUGACCGGUCAUCCAGGGUUCUUCGGAAUCCUGUGGCUGAUUUUUGGCUCUGGCUCGGAAGUGAAUGGUUUUUGAACGCAAGUUCGAAACUUCCGUUUCACCCAUUAGUUUGGCCUAUGACCGGUUGUCAAUACAUGUCAACCAUUCGGCGUGGCCCUUUUAUAAAUUAACCCCUUUGUAAACUUUUUUGCUAAUCUAAAUUUGGUAUUUCGGCAACCCUUCAUUGGGUUUGACGAGUAUUAAAAUUACGAAAUGAUUAACAACUCUUAGCAACGGAUAUCUUGGUUCUC